UGUAUGGCCUAAAAAAGCCACUUUCUGCACAAAAUGUAAAUGAAGUGUUGGCUUAUCUUGAAAAAGCCAAACAAUAUACAUAUAUUGGGAUUGACCAUAUUUAUAAAGUACAGAAGAGUUCUUCGUAAACGCAUCACAAUGCAGAUUGUAAAGAAAAAAGUUGUGGAAUCAAAAAAUAAAACUGGGUUUUUAGGCUUCCUUGUGUGUAUCGAGAGAUUAAAUCACUUGUAUGCAACGUUGAUACAGGAGGAGCAACGCUUAAGGUACAUUGCAACAUAAAGACUAUCCCAAGGUCAUAUUGAAAUUCUAUUCGGUGUUAUUGUUAUUAUCAUACAUAUUCCUAAUAAUAGCUCUGGUAGCUAUCCAGAAGGUACCUAGUUCUACCAACCAAGAAGUACGUAGGCAUAAAUAUACAUAUAUUAUACUCAGCUCGGGGAUUUUUCAAAACAAUCUUUUUCAUUUUUGCAGUAUUUUGAUGACACUUUAUUCUUAAUCUAUACAAUUAACUUUAUAGAUAUUAAUUUAAAACAGAAAGACGCUUUACAUUUAAGUAAUCACGUAUUUAUUGCAAUUAAAACAGAGCGCGACACUUCACCACGAAAUUAUUGUCCGGUACUGAUUUAAAGUAAACAAACACGGCGGUCAACAAACGAGGUCCGAUAUUCCACCACCAGGACCUCUACACAAGGACCAGUGAAAGUGCUACUUGGACCUACAUUAGACUGAAUAGAAAAUCCCUACGAUUCCGAUAUUCAGUUUAUAGAUCACUAACUGGAUCAAAAAAAUAUAUAGAAAUUUUUACCAAUACAGUAAGUUUAAAAUUUAAAUUCACUGUCAUAAUAACUCUCAUUCUGAAAUUCAUUGCAAAGUCUAUAGAAGUCAUCGCCUCUCAAAAUACAUUAUUUUUAUUUAUUUACUAGGAUAUUGUAGCGACUCAGAAUACAGACAAAUCUGGAUGUAAAUGCUGCUACUUCUUUACAAACAUCUCAGGAUUCCACUCAAGAAGAUAAAGGUUGUACAUUGCCAACAAAUGAAAUCAGAGAUGACAAUAUUUCAACUGAGGUGUGUAGAAAUACUUGUCUUAUAGGUCCUGACCAAUAUGUUAACGACGGCUCCACACGUUGGCCCCAACGCUCGUUCCAACGCAAUUCGUCCAACUUGUGGAUCUAGAAAAUGACAUUGGUCCCAACGUUGGGGCGAGCGUUGGUAGUUGGCCGUCUCGUGUCGGUUUUAUCAAUGGAAUCUGCGCGCCAACGUUGGCGAUCUGUCCACACGUUGGCGCUUUGCUCAGUUCUGCUUACAACACGCAGCGAGUGCGUACGUCAAGUAAAAAUGUCUUCCUCAUCCAGCUAAUCGCCACCGGCAUGGACAAAUGAGAAAGUGAUACAAUUUCUAGAAUUAUAUCAAGCACACCCCAUAAUAUGUAAAGACCACAAAAAAUAAAAAUUUAGUAGCUGAUGCACGGCGAACCAUUCAACAUAAUAUGGGAAAUAAUUUCACAAUUGAAGAUUUAAGAAAAAGCGAGAGUCAUUAAUGAGCACAUAUCGUCUUUACAGAAAAAAAAAAAUUACGCAUGGCAAGAGGCAAGAGGUUGCUGAGAAUUGUUUUGAAGAUUGGAACAAUUUGAACAACGAAGACAAAGAAAUGAAAAUACAAUUUCUGCUAAAAAAAUGGAAAGCCGUAAGAGAUUACUACAUGCGUGAAAAAAAAAAGAAAACGAUGAAAGAAGUGGUAGCGCAGCAAAGAAGAAGAAAGUUU
Helicoverpa armigera (cotton bollworm) is the source of this 1758-nucleotide long non-coding RNA. RefSeq lists it as uncharacterized. NCBI's taxonomy places the organism in Eukaryota, Metazoa, Arthropoda, Insecta, Lepidoptera, Noctuidae. The record is from RefSeq and is a predicted model, not a curated record. The transcript has 2 exons.